RNAcentral lists this ribosomal RNA (1259 nucleotides) under uncultured organism. Its description in RNAcentral is "bacterial SSU rRNA". It matches the Rfam family "Bacterial small subunit ribosomal RNA", at positions 69 to 1305 of the family's 1533-position model. The record is from RNAcentral.
UAGUAAGGUGCUUGCACUUUAUGAGAGUGGCGAACGGGUGAGUAACACGUAUGGUGAUCUACCGUAAAGUUGGGGAUAGCCUGUGGAAACACAGGGUAAUACCGGAUAAUUCUCAUUGUUUACGGACGGAUAAGGGAAAGGGGCCACGGCCUGCUUUUCGAAGAGCCUGCGUACCAUUAGUCAGUCGGCAGGGUAACGGCCUACCAAGGCGACCGAUGGAUAGCCGGCCUGAGAGGGUGACCGGCCACACUGGGACUGAGACACGGCCCAGAACUCCUACGGGAGGCUAGCUAGCUAAGAAUCUUCCGCAAUGGGCGAAAGGCCUGACGGAGCGACGCCGCGUGGACGACGAAGGCCGGAAGGUUGUACAGUCCUUUUCUCGAUGACGACUAAGGCAGCGAGGGAAUGCGCUGUCGAUGACAUUAGUUGAUGACUAAGCCCCGGCUAAUUACGUGCCAGCAGCCGCGGUAAUACGUAUGGGGCAAGCCGUAGUCCGGAAUCACUGUCCGUAAAGGGAGUGUAGGCGGAAAAGGUUAAGUUAGAAGUGUAAUCCACGGGCUUAACCCGUGACUCGCUUUUAAUACUGCUUUUCUUGAGUAUGGGAGAGGGAGAUGGAAUUCCAGGUCUAGCGGUGGAAUGCGUAGAUAUCUGGAAGAACACCAGUAGCGAAGGCGGUCUCCUGGCCCAAUACUGACGCUGAGGCUCGAAAGCGUGGGGAUCGAACAGGAUUAGAUACCCUGGUAGUCCACGCCGUAACCGAUGGACACUAGAUGUUGGCCUCUUCGGGGGUCGGUGUCGUAGCUAACGCGUUAAGUGUCCCGCCUGGGAAGUACGCUCGCAAGAGUGAAACUCAAAGGAAUUGACGGGGGCCCGCACAAGCGGUGGAGCAUGUGCUUUAAUUCGAUGCAACGCGAAGAACCUUACCUGGACUUGACAUGGGGGUGAAAGUUUUCAGAGAUGAAAACCCUUCCUUCGGGAACGCCCUACACAGGUGCUGCAUGGUUGUCGUCAGCUCGUGUCGUGAGAUGUUGGGUUAAGUCCCGCAACGAGCGCAACCCUUGUCCUUAGUUGCCAGCGGGUCAUGCCGGGAACUCUAGGGAGACUGCCUGGUACAACCAGGAGGAAGGUGGGGAUGACGUCAAAUCAUCAUGGCCCUUACGUCCAGGGCUAGACACGUGCUACAAUGGCCGGUACAGAGGGCUGCAAGACUGCGAAGUCAAGCCAAUCCCUGAAAACCGGUCUCAGUUCGGAUUGGAGUC